AAAAUACACAUACUAACACAAACAAAAGUUCCCGUUUUGGACUGUGAGCUAGGCCUGUAGAUCUGUUAAAGAAAAACAAGCUAGCGUUAGUUAAACCUCCGAACCCAAUUUACAUAAUGUGUCUAGAUCCGCCGUGUCAACUCAACCCAGCACUUUGCUGUAACUUAGCUAGCUAGCUAGCUAACGCUAUCGCUUGCUGACCAAAAAUAGCCGAACAAAAGCUACAAUCUAAGCAGAGCAUUUUGUGGCCUUAAAUGGUUGAGCUAAAGGCACUGGCCCUGCAGACUGGACCAGAGUUCAUGGUGAGCAUCGUAGACCUCCUCACUGCUGGGCCUGUGCCUGGAUCACCGAGCUCGUUAGAUGUUCGCUGCUCAUGCUAAGCCCUUGAAACAGUAGUUGGUCAAUAUUGGAUAAUAAAAUAUAAUACAUUA
Perca fluviatilis (European perch) is the source of this 431-nucleotide long non-coding RNA. RefSeq lists it as uncharacterized. The transcript is spliced from 2 exons. NCBI's taxonomy places the organism in Eukaryota, Metazoa, Chordata, Actinopteri, Perciformes, Percidae. The record is from RefSeq and is a predicted model, not a curated record.